ACGCGUUUGUGCAGCUCAGAUGGCGCCGCCUGUGCCCUAGCUCCGUGGCCCUGGAGACCCUGGCACGGUGUCACUUUUGCACCCUUCCUUCCCCGCCUCCCCAACUUUCCUUUCUGAAUCUUCCAAUUCUGCCCCAGCUGGAGGCGUGCGGGUCCUCUUGCAAACCGGACCAAGGAUGUCUCCCCGAUCCCCGGAUGCUGGAGGCUGGUUGAGUUCAUGUCACCAGCAAACACCGCGCCAGCUGCGAGACCGGCUUGUCUUGAAUUCCUCCCUGCGUGGAAUUCAGAAGGCCUCUUUGGGUUCUGGAUCAAGACCGCUUUUUCUGUGAACAAUCACCAUGAGAAGAACACGCCCCGACUGACCCACUGGUCCAAGGAAGGUGAGACAUGGAGAAGACAGUGACCCAAUCUUCAGCUUGGAGACACGUCCAGCUGAACUCAGUCCACAUCAGUGACCUGCAGAUGCAUAAGUGAGAAUAAACGAUUGUUGGGUUAGG
Molecule: long non-coding RNA, 496 nt
Organism: Symphalangus syndactylus (siamang)
Lineage: Eukaryota; Metazoa; Chordata; Mammalia; Primates; Hylobatidae
Source: RefSeq, a predicted model, not a curated record